RNAcentral lists this ribosomal RNA (1400 nucleotides) under uncultured bacterium. Its description in RNAcentral is "bacterial SSU rRNA". It matches the Rfam family "Bacterial small subunit ribosomal RNA". The record is from RNAcentral.
GAAUUCGCCCUUAGAGUUUGAUCCUGGCUCAGGACGAACGCUGGCGGCGUGCUUAACAUAUGCAAGUCGAACGGAGCGCCUAUGAAGGAGAUUUCGGUCAACGGAAUAGGUUGCUUAGUGGCGGACGGGUGAGUAACGCGUGAGGAACCUGCCUUUCAGAGGGGGACAACAGUUGGAAACGACUGCUAAUACCGCAUAACACAUAGGUGCCGCAUGGCAUUUAUGUCAAAGAUUUAUCGCUGAAAGAUGGCCUCGCGUCUGAUUAGCUAGUUGGUGAGGUAACGGCUCACCAAGGCGACGAUCAGUAGCCGGACUGAGAGGUUGGCCGGCCACAUUGGGACUGAGAUACGGCCCAGACUCCUACGGGAGGCAGCAGUGGGGAAUAUUGGGCAAUGGGCGCAAGCCUGACCCAGCAACGCCGCGUGAAGGAAGAAGGCUUUCGGGUUGUAAACUUCUUUUGACAGGGAAGAGUAGAAGACGGUACCUGUCGAAUAAGCCACGGCUAACUACGUGCCAGCAGCCGCGGUAAUACGUAGGUGGCAAGCGUUGUCCGGAUUUACUGGGUGUAAAGGGCGUGUAGCCGGGUUGACAAGUCAGAUGUGAAAUCCUGCGGCUUAACCGCAGAACUGCAUUUGAAACUGUUGAUCUUGAGUACUGGAGAGGCAGACGGAAUUCCUAGUGUAGCGGUGAAAUGCGUAGAUAUUAGGAGGAACACCAGUGGCGAAGGCGGUCUGCUGGACAGCAACUGACGGUGAGGCGCGAAAGCGUGGGGAGCAAACAGGAUUAGAUACCCUGGUAGUCCACGCUGUAAACGAUGGAUACUAGGUGUGCGGGGACUGACCCCCUGCGUGCCGCAGUUAACACAAUAAGUAUCCCACCUGGGGAGUACGAUCGCAAGGUUGAAACUCAAAGGAAUUGACGGGGGCCCGCACAAGCGGUGGAUUAUGUGGUUUAAUUCGAAGCAACGCGAAGAACCUUACCAGGGCUUGACAUCCCGGUGACCGCUGUAGAGAUACAGUUUUCCCUUCGGGGACACUGGUGACAGGUGGUGCAUGGUUGUCGUCAGCUCGUGUCGUGAGAUGUUGGGUUAAGUCCCGCAACGAGCGCAACCCUUAUUGUUAGUUGCUACGCAAGAGCACUCUAGCGAGACUGCCGUUGACAAAACGGAGGAAGGUGGGGACGACGUCAAAUCAUCAUGCCCCUUAUGUCCUGGGCCACACACGUACUACAAUGGUGGUCAACAGAGGGAAGCAAUACCGCGAGGUGGAGCAAAUCCCUAAAAGCCAUCCCAGUUCGGAUCGCAGGCUGCAACCCGCCUGCGUGAAGUUGGAAUCGCUAGUAAUCGCGGAUCAGCAUGCCGCGGUGAAUACGUUCCCGGGCCUUGCACUCACCGCCCGUCA